GAGAAGUCUCUGGAAUACGGCACUGCUUGACAUAGAACAAAUCAGCUCUUAUUACAAGAAUAAAUACAAAGGUCUGAUGUUACAAAGGUUCACAUCAGCACGACGACACUACGCCUGCGAUACUACAAUUGCUUUAUGCUAGCAGCGGAACAACUCGAAGCAGCGGAAAUCUUCUAGCAGCGGAACAACGACGAAGGUGGUGAACUCCACUCCGCAGGGACUCUGGCUGGGACACGAUCUAGUUCGCACGAACGGAAACCACGACAAGCAAUCAAGCAAUCACGACAUCACCUGCAAUCUGGCAUGACACGUCAGGUCAAUGCAUUGAAUGUACUUGCAAGCUCACAACAACCAAAAGCAUCAAGGCAAGACAACAACAUAGCAUUACGCAGGUUAAUUAAAUUAACAUCUACCAUUAUACGACAACAACUACUAAGCAUGAUAUGAAACUACUACAAUACUGAUAAACCAACAUCUCAUUCCCAACAACAAUCUCAUUCUUGGCUAACCGGCCAAGCAAUAUACCAUAUCGACCACCUCGUGGUCCAUAUGAUCACCUCGUGAUCAAAACAUCCACAUGAUCACCUCGUGAUCAACAUAUCCACGCGGUCACCUCGUGACCACAUCACAAACUGAAUGAUCAUCCUCAAGAUCAUCUCAACAUCAUCAUCACCAUCCUGCCAAACUGUUACUGCUCACAUAUAUCAUAUAAAUCAGCUAUAAGUCAUUCCGUCACGUGAGUGUUGAUCGAACGGCGUGACCUAGUACGGACGCGGCUAUCGAUAGCUUAAACACACACUCUGCAGAGGUAGCGCACUGUACGCACACCACGGAACCCAUGGCCUCGCACUCCCAUUCGGGUGGACCAAUGACGUUCCGACAAAACCAAUCUACUGCCAUGACACUCUCCUGACCACUCCGACCAACACCCCCUUUGGGUUCAGCCUGGGUGGCCCCGUGCCUACCAAAGGCACCAACAGCCACCAUCGUGGCAAACAAAAACGGUCCCAAAUGGGGACAAAAGUGCGCAAAAUCCAACUACGGGCACACAAGGCUUAUGUCCGCCUACCUGAUCAGGGUAGCACGCGCCCAUACCCUUCCCUCGUUGGAGGCACCGGCGAGAGACACGGCAAUAGAAUCGCAUUAGGGCCUUCCCAUAAAGGCAAAUGUGGUUGCACUGGAGAAAGCCAGGUUCGAUGGCACCUGACCAACUUAAUGACGGAAUUUAUCCCCAAAAAUAUAAUUGUGAUAACUGAUACUCCGAUAUUAACUAUCAUACUAUAAUCCAAGUCAUAGCAAUAUCCAACAAAUAAUCUGAGCAUAAUAUCAUCAUAUCAAAAUACUCCAAGGAUAGCAUAACAUUUCUAUCAUGAUGAAUCUGAAAACAAUAACUCUACUACUCCAAUAACAAGAGCAAAGCUAUCCAGAUAAGAUCCACACGUAAACAUCAUCUCCGAAAUUAAUACUCCAAGCAACAGUAACACAACAUCGACUAGCAUCAUGAAAAUAAUCAUACUAACCACUAAUAAUCCAAAGGCAGCAUGACAUCCAAAGUAAUACUCCAAAAUAUAAUAAUAGAUAUCAUCAUGAAAACAAUCAUAAUAUCAACCAGUAAUACUCCAAUGGCAACAUGAUACUCAUCAACUACAAACAUAACUCCUAGUAAUCCAAACAAUAGCAUGGCAACAACAAGAUCAAAAUAAUAAUCCGAGAAAAUGCCAUGCACGAAGUCAUGUAGCUAAAGCAAUAUUUUAAACAAGUUCAAAUAGAUUAAACCAUGUCACUGCAUUACAGUGAUGCAAAUGAAGGGUGUGGCUUGCCUAGGGUGGAAGAAAUCACCGGGAGAAAGUGCGAGAAACUCAAAGAAAGAAUCACCGGAAAACGUACUCUCUCGGAGGGGGCUGAUUUGGUGCAAGGGCAAAAUGGUCAUCAUUAUAAUGUUGAAACAUAAUGAAAAUGAUACAAACAGAACGGGCUCGAUGAAACGAAGAAGUGGGCUUUGGAUUCACCUCAAACGGAGUUGUGCUUGAAAAGUGAUAGUUGUUUUUCUGCCAGGGACCUAUUUGUAAUAAAAUCAUCACAAACAAGCCCUCAGCCGGAAAAACAGAACGUGCACUUGGCAGAAAUACGCCUUCUCCUCUCGAAAACGUAUUCCACAUUGAAACAGAAAGAACAUACGCUUCCAGAUCAGUGAAAGCGCAUUCUGGUCUAAAGAAGGACGGAACUAUGCUUUCGGAAAGCAAAGACGUAAUUAGUAUAUUAAGCCUCCACUUAUCCACGUUAGCGUACCUGGGUCAACGGGGCUGAGUCUGCCAUGCGGGGCCCGCGAGGAGAACAGGGCCCGCCUGGCCUCUGUCUUCUUCUUCCUCGUCCUGCCCCCGCACGGGACAGAGGAGGCAGGGGAGGGCGCGUCACCGGCGACGGGCCGGCCGGCUCCGGCCGUCUCCAGCGAGGGUGAUGCCACCGCUGGGCUCGGGAGGACGGGCCGCAGCCGUCCCCAAGGUUAGCCGGCACCGGGGAGGGCGGGACGACCGCGGGGAGAGGGGAACAGAGGCGGCUCCAGCGGCGGUUGGACUUGAAUACGGAGGCUUCUGCUACUCCGGCGAGUGGGCGAGGGGUGGAAGAGGUGCACCGAGGAGUGGGGAAGAGAGUGGUGGCGGCAGAAUGGAGUGGGGGGCUCGGCUCAUCCAAAUUUAGCCGGAGCACCGCGGCGGCCAUGGCGGACGGAGGACGAGCAGAGGGGCUCCGGUGCUUGGGGAAGAGGUGGGGCGGGGUCAGAGGAGUGUGGUGAGGUCGAAUGUGAGCUCGGGAGGCCGCGAGGACGGCUAUAUAUAGGCGGGGCGUGGGAGGCCGAGCCGGUUGCCGCCGCUCGAGCUUGGCCAAAGCUCUGGCGAGCUUAGCGGUCACGGGGAGGCGCGGGAACGCGACGAGGGGGGAGGGGUGCAGACGAGCCGCAGAGGUCACGGAGACGAGCGGAGCUCGGGGACAAGAAGAGGAAGAGGACACCGAGGAGGGAAACGACGGUCGGCUACAGCACGUCCGUGGGCGCGCGGCAACGAGAGCUGACGGAGGGCUUACGGAGGGGGAGAUGGCUCCAGGAGGACAGUGACGGCACGGUAAAACUAUUAGACACACUUACGAGCAUGAAGACGACGAGAGGGAGAGGGGCCGGAGCUAGAAGACGGCCUGGGCGUGGCCAACGCCAGCAGAGCGCGCACAUGGCAUGCCAAAACUCGUGAUCACCACGUGCACUGGUGCACACAGUGCCACACGGCCGGCCAAACGAUGUCUGGGGGUUUGUCCUUCCUGGGGAGGUUGCAACUGUGGUUGUAGCUCGGUGAAAACUGCUAUGGUUAAAUGGUAAUCACCCUCGAAGUUUACUGCAGUAAACUUGGGUAAGCACUGGUGAUCAACAGGAAGGUGAUUGGGAGCAAAGGAGUUGUCUGUGAGGUUUAGGUAAAGAAGGACUUUCACCCUGGUAACAUUGAGAAGAUUAGGACCAAGAUGCACCAUAGUUGCUUCAGAAGUGCAUAUUUAGUCCAGAAUCAAGAUCAGGAAGGUGCACUCACAUGGAGUGUCAAAUUGAGCUCAAAUUUGGCAAGGCUUAGUGAUUUGGUCAUAGUAAGAAGCUGUAAAAAUCUCAUACCAAUUGGAUUAACCAAAAUGGUACUUCCUUAACAGCUAUCUUCACUGACCAGUAUCUUGCAAUAAUUCUAGAGAAAUAGUGGCUAGGUGAACUGGUGCCAAAUUUGGUGGAGAGAAGUUAUUUGGGUAGGAGAACAGUCUGGUAAUUUAUCAGGAUUUUUGAAGCAAUACAAAAUGCACUUGCUUCACAACCUGAAAUUUUUACCAGAAGCAAAGAUUUGGUCCUGUGCUCACAUAGAUGAUUGGAUGGGGCUUAAAUUUGUAGGAGUGAGAUAAUAUGAGCACCAGAAGAGGCAUGCAAAAUUUCAACUCAUUUGGAUUCUCCUAGAUAGUACUUCCUUCACAGUGGCUUUUGUUUGACAGAAACUUUGAAAAAUCACUGAGGAAGAUUGGCUAGGCAAAUAAAGUUGAAUUUUGGCAUGUGGCAAUUAUUUGGACAUAAAAGAAUGCCGAACAAGUUUGGGAGCAAACAAGAUCAGAUAAAUGACACUUCCUUCACAAAGCGCCACUCUGGACAGAAAGGAAGAAUAAUUAUUGGGGAAUUAUUCUUGGGCUAGGACAGGAAUGUUUGGGCAUAUUUGAGAAAUAUAUGACCCAUAGAAAUUAUGAGAAUUAUUUGGGAAUUUUUGGAUGGGCAGAAAUAUAGGUUGCUUCACAACCUAGGGCAGAUAGGGUUAUUCCUUUAAUAGAAAAAAAGGAUAUUCCCUAGAAAAAGAUUUUAGGGUUUGGUCAAAGUGUGAAGUGACAUGAUCUUGGCAAGGUUUUGAGAAUGAUGAGCCACUUGGGAGGGGAAAUGAGGAUGAUUUCCCAGGUGGCAAGGCCACAGAACCACUCCAAAAAGGAAAACAGAGCAAAAACCAAUAAAUCAAAAAGAAAAAGAAAAGGGCCAAAAACCAGGCUGCUACAAACCUUCCCCCCUUAAAGAAAUCUCGUCCUCGAGAUUUCGUUGCUCAGGGAACAAGUAUGACUUGAGGACACCGUUUCUAACUCGGGUAUCCAUUUCCUUUAUUUAUUGUUCCUCUGAGAAUUUCAGAUGAUCAACUUACCUUGCUCUGGGGUGGUUUGCUUCACCUUUCCCAAAUUCUGACAGGUCUUUGCUCAUAUACCAGUUCCUUUUUACUGACGUUGAUUCUCCAUACAUGUGGUGAUAUCCCAUGGAUCUGAGCAUAAAUUUUCUUUUGGUCAUGAAAACCUUUUUACUUCUGUCAUGGGAUAGCUUUAAAUAAAUGCAGGCCUUCUGGUUUCAAUAAAUGCUGAGAAUCAUGGCCAUUCUCCUGACGGGAUCUGACUACUCAUGGGUGGUACUGAUUUAUUUUGAUCUAUUCCUUUGGCUCGAGCAUGUCGCAUAUACCAGAGAUUUGACUGCCUUCAGGCGUGAGCAAUAUAAUGGUGUAUGGAGUUAUAGUUGUGUCAUAUCUCAAAUAUUUACAUCUUGAGAUUGGCCCGACAGGGGCUGACGGGCAAAUGCUUUUCCUGACAGACUGACCGUGUACUUGAUUCCGUCGGUGAGUAUACUGGGUCUGAGCUGAUUGUUCAGCUUUUGAUUUUUCUCAUGUGGUCGAUAUACCCAUCUGUGGUAAUAGACCAUGGUAUGCUUUAACACUGCCGCUGAGGUCAAACUGCUGAGGUUGCAAAGGAAUCUUGGGUCUGACAGAGCAGGCUUGGAUAUUCCACACUAAUCAUUCCAAGCGUGUCAGCGGGAUAUGAAAUCCAUGUAAAACAGAGUAUGCCUUUGUGGAUCCAUAUGGAAUUACGACUUUCGAUUGACUUGGGUAUCCGGGCCCUGAUGGUCGCGCAAAAAUCAUCAACAUACUUUUGCUGUCAGUCUCAUCCUUUAACGAUCAUGAUUUGCUUUGCCAGGAUUCCUUACUGAAAUAACUUGGCCAUGCCUGUCCUUGAUUUUUCGUAUGACCAUGGAUGUGAUUAGUGCAAUAUUUUUGACAUUACUCCUUAUGCAUGUUUUCUGACCUCGGUUCGCAUACAUAUGACCUAUACCCGGGGUUUGUGGCUAUACGGAGCUCAUUGCUGAGGCCAAUCAUACAAGAAGGUGACAAGGUUUUAAGACAUCUCCUUUUCAGUUGCGGGAAUAAUGACCUUGAUGACCAUUGUCAAGACUGUUGAUUCUGUGAUGUCAUCCCUAGACCUUGUCGAUCCUUGUAAUUCAUGAGAUGUAUCUCUGCUUAUCUUCAUUUUCAUGGCUCAUGAGGUUGUUGGAUCCAUACCUUUCUUAGGUAUAUCUGCGUGAUCAUUGUCGUAUCCCGUAUGAGUGAAUGAUCUGGCCAGGGAUACAUGCUCACCAUAUAUAAGAAUCAUAUGCAAUCAAACACUUGAUUUCUGAAUAAGACACAUGCCUUCACUGAUUUGUGCUUCUGACAAAAUGUUGUGAGUCUGAUUCUUGAGCGAUACUGCCAUAUAUUGGCAACUCAUCAUAUAAUCUCUGAGGACGAUGUAAUAUUAUGAUACUGACGCAGACUGAAUGGCUUACGAGAGAAGUCAUCCGAGUAGCUUGCUGAAGAGAACUUGUUAACUUCUGCUCAAAUCUUUUGUCUGGGUAUCGUGUAGAAAAAGGCUCUAUAGCUUACACACGAAGCUUGGUCUGAUUAUUGUGCUAGAGAAGCCUGAGUACCGUUCUUGAGAAGCUUCUCCUCGGUUUUGCUUGUUGAGAAAACUCAUUUCCGUCUGUUAGAAGCUUUUACCGAGGUAUCUUGUUGAGAAAGACCGGGUAUCGUGGGCCAGAAAUUGUUCACAUAUCAUGGUGAGGAAAAAUUGAGGAGCCUUGCCUCAUAAAUUUCUUCCGAUAGCGUGUGGAAUAAUACUGGGUUUCUUAUAUCCAAAACUUCAUACUGAUAUGCAGACUGAAAUCCAAACACACGCUCAUAAUAUUCUAAGGCUGAUUAUUUGCAUGAGAAAAAUGGUUUGACUGUCUUCCUUGAGCAUGUCACAUUCUGACUUUAUUUCGGAUGAUAACAUAUUUCAAGCAUCAUGCAUUGUUGAGCCAAAACUUUGUAUACGAUCCAUACCUCUGUCUGAAAAUAUACCGUUGGGCUUGUACCUGACUUGUCUUGCUGCUGACUUGAUCAUUACUGUUGUGAGGAUUUGGUACUGAUGAGGACUUGAUGCUGAUAAUCAAUCCAAGACACUAUUGGUAUUCAGAGCAGAUAUUAAUGCCAUAAUGCAGUUGACUGGGUGGACCAUAAUGUUCAGCUGAGCUUCUUCCAACUAUUUGAAAUCCUUAUUGCUUCUUCGAGUCCGGUGUCAGUUGAUGAUCAACUCUUUAUAGGGGAAAAUAAUGUAACACCGGGGCCCAAAAAGAAAGAAGCAAAAGAAAACUCAACUAACAUAAGCACACAACAACAAUCAAUGUCACAUAUUACUGCUAGUCACACAAUAUGCAUGUCUACGUAAGCACACAAAUUUCGCGGAAUCUCUGGUUCUAUGAUCUAGCAUGUUGUGACGAUGUGCACGAGGACGAAUAAAUGUGUGGAAAAAUUGGUGUAAACAGCGCUACACCAAGUGCUAGCUUAGCCAGGUAGCAACCUGGACUAGCUCGGAGGCGAGGACGCACUCGGUAACCAUGUAGUGGGACACGAAGGUCGCAACCACAUUAUUAUCAAGCGGACAGAAAAUAUCCGUACUCGUCCAAGAAAUAAGGAUAGCAGGGAAAAACUGAGUCAUCUGGCAUUGCCCUUUCGUGAUGACUAAGAUCAUUAAGGGUUGCCAACACGACAAAAUAAAAAGGAGGAUCCGGGAUAGAAGCAUGUCUACCACCGAAACAAAAUGGGGCUGAAGGAAAGAAAUCGGUGCGAUACCGGAGCACCAUUUCUGCAAACAGUGUUGGGAUCACUUGGCAUCACUCCGCUAGGACAUAAAUGACACCAAACACCAAAGAACAGGCAAUAAAAGAAAUCUAGAGGAAUGCAAAGGCUGAGCUGUAGUGGAUCCGAACCGAUGCCAUCUAUACUCACCAGAUAAAUCAGCAAUGGCAAAAUAAUAAGGUUAUACGCAUACUAUGCAACAAACAAAUGCAGCAACCAAAUGCAACAAACAAGGUAGGCUCUAUACUACCGAUUACUACUGGUUUCUACCGCUCGCGCUGACUAGGGCGUCCUACAGCCAGACCUGCUCUGAUACCAAGCGCUAUCGCACCCCGGCUCAGAGAAAUCGGAACUCCCCGUAUUCCAGCCCAGAGAUCGAGGAGAAGUCUCUGGAAUACGGCACUGCUUGACAUAGAAUAAAUAAGCUCUUAUUACAAGAAUAAAUACAAAGGUCUGAUGUUACAAAGGUUCACAUCAGCACAACGACACUACGCCUGCGAUACUACACUUGCUCUAUGCUAGCAGCAGAACAACUCGAAGCAGCGGAAAUCUUCUAGCAGCGGAACAACGAUGAAGGUGGUGAACUCCACUCCGCAGGGACUCUGGCUGGGACACGAUCUAGCUCGCACGAACGAAAACCACGACAAGCAAUCAAGCAAUCACGACAUCACCUGCAAUCUGGCAUGACACGCCAGGUCAGUACAUUGAAUGUACUUGCAAGCUCACCACAACCAAAAGCAUCAAGGCAAGACAACAACAUAGCAUUAAGCAGGUUAAUUAAAUUAACAUCUACCAUGAUACGACAUCAACUACUAAGCAUGAUAUGAAACUACUAGAAUACUGAUAAACCAACAUCUCAUUCCCAACAACAAUCUCAUUCUUGGCUAACCGGCCAAGCAAUAUACCAUCUCGACCACCUCGUGGU
RNAcentral lists this long non-coding RNA (8385 nucleotides) under Triticum aestivum (bread wheat). RNAcentral's name for it is "long non-coding RNA (TAES_LNC000283)". The record is from RNAcentral. Lineage: Eukaryota; Viridiplantae; Streptophyta; Magnoliopsida; Poales; Poaceae.